Cyprinodon tularosa is the source of this 493-nucleotide long non-coding RNA. RefSeq lists it as uncharacterized. The record is from RefSeq and is a predicted model, not a curated record. NCBI's taxonomy places the organism in Eukaryota, Metazoa, Chordata, Actinopteri, Cyprinodontiformes, Cyprinodontidae. The transcript is spliced from 3 exons.
UGGGCUUUGAACGCACCACACGGGUGCCUAAUUCUAAUUGGUUGUGGCGCUCGCUGGUUGCCUGUGUAUAUAAGGGGCCCUCCCUCACCGGGUUGACAUUGCAUUGUUCUCCUUCCGGUUCAGACCUCUGCGUUUGUUGGUGCUGCACGCCAGCUGCAAAUGAAUGCAUGCACUUAAACAAUGCGCUUAACGGCAUACUGAUUGUGGACCAAUCGUCCUUCGGACUGCCAGUACAAGCUUCCCACGCUUUCCUCCCUGUAAGAGGCACUACUUAAAGAGCUCAGUGGAACGGUCAGCUCGUGGUGUUGGUGGUGGACUUCUGGGUGGUGGUUCCUCUUCUGGUUUGGUGCAUGAUUUUCUUUUGCUUUGCCUAGUUCUGUUUGCUGUGUUUAUUUUUUUUCUUUUUUGUACCCUACCCUGAAUUUCACUCCUCACAGAGUUACGCUUGAAAAAAUUUUUAAAUGUGAGGUUUUAAUUUAGUCUUUUUGAAUUA